RNAcentral lists this long non-coding RNA (1075 nucleotides) under Parus major (Great Tit). Its description in RNAcentral is "lncRNA (ENSPMJG00000019985.1)". Lineage: Eukaryota; Metazoa; Chordata; Aves; Passeriformes; Paridae. The record is from RNAcentral.
GUGAUGUGUUUCUCCUUCACAUCAGUGUACUAAGUCUGCUGUAGUUUUUAGGCACAUUUAAAUUGUGCAAAAUUGUAUCCUUGAAAAACACGCAGAGAUCUUCUCCAUUUAUUGUUUUAUUGUUUUCAUGAAGGUUUAUCGUAUCUCCAUAUAUCCAACAUUCAAAUAUCUUUCAGGAAGGGAAUGCUGGAGCCUGGCUGAGACUCUGGAGGUCUCUGCAGUGGUUUUGCACAAGUUGUCUAGAAAAAGGACAAAGUCUCCUGGUUGAGAAUUCGUGGCAUGAAGGUCUGAGCAAGAGGAACUGUACUUUCCUUUGCAUCACUGGCAUUUCAGCCCAGAGCUCUCCCACAUCUCAUAAGCUGCUUUGAGCCCAUGCAGUACACAGAGUGGAAAAAAAAAAGAAUUGAAGAAGCAAAAAUAAAUAUUAAAGCACGUAAGAAUUAAAUAUCACCUAUUCAAAUAGCAAUUAUGCCGUUGAAAACAAGAUCACCACACCUGUACAAGAAAAGACAACCAAGCCUAAAACAUCUGUUUGGAUCCACCUGCCAAGCACCUGUUCUGCUGUUUCAAUGCCAUUUGAUUGCUGGAGAUGUAGAGGCUCUUGUGAGGUUUCUUGCACAGUUGUUUGCUUUGUGCUGAUGGAAGAUGCUGCAGAGUCAGGUCUUUAUCCACAGACCAGUUUCCACACCGGGAACUGCGGGAUAAAUCAGCCCAUGCUCCUCAUCAUGGAGAAUUCAGCAGCUGCUUGGGAUCAUCUCCCAGAGAUGAAGGAGAUGUGGAAGUCAAACUGAGAGGCUGCAGCAUCCCCUCUGCCUCUUCCCAAGUGCUCAUCGUGAACCAAAGGCUUUCUGAAGACAUAAAAAAAGAAAAGUGCUGGUCAUGGAAGAACAGCAAAGGUUUCCUUUGUAACUAAGACACACUUGUUUGCAAUAACAUGUGUGCUUUUAAAUGCUGCCAAGUUGCUGAGGCUAUCUCUCCUAAAUGCAAUCUUUAAAUAUGUAAGUGUUAAAAAAAACAAGGUAAUGUUCAAGAAAUGUUAAAGUAAAAAAAAAUAAUAAAAAAAAAAGUUUGAUCA